UACGUAGGGGGCAAGCGUUAUCCGGAUUUACUGGGUGUAAAGGGAGCGUAGACGGCGAUGCAAGUCUGAAGUGAAAACCUGGGGCUCAACCCCAGGAUUGCUUUGGAAACUGUAUUGCUAGAGUACCGGAGGGGUAAGCGGAAUUCCUAGUGUAGCGGUGAAAUGCGUAGAUAUUAGGAGGAACACCGGUGGCGAAGGCGGCUUACUGGACGGCAACUGACGUUGAGGCUCGAAAGCGUGGGGAG
This 245-nucleotide ribosomal RNA is filed under the name uncultured Lachnospiraceae bacterium. Its description in RNAcentral is "partial 16S ribosomal RNA". It matches the Rfam family "Bacterial small subunit ribosomal RNA", at positions 524 to 768 of the family's 1533-position model. Lineage: Bacteria; Bacillati; Bacillota; Clostridia; Lachnospirales; Lachnospiraceae. The record is from RNAcentral.